Molecule: long non-coding RNA, 963 nt
Filed under: Marmota monax (woodchuck)
Lineage: Eukaryota; Metazoa; Chordata; Mammalia; Rodentia; Sciuridae
Source: RNAcentral
UAUCAAUGGUGUCACGGCUUUUUUGGAUGUGGCUGCAAAGCAGGGAUAUGAAGAGGUGAGGUCAGUGGGAGGAGCAGGGAAAGGCAGCAGGGCUGUAUGGGACUUGGCCUCAGGGCUUUGUUCACCCUGUAGCAUUAUAGAAGAUGGGUUCCCAGAACUCUUCCAUUAGGCUCACCCAGUAAUACGGAUGAGUGUGUGGGGCAGGCACUUGAGUUGGAACCUGCGGUGGUGGAGACAGGACUUCUCAUUUCUGACGAGCUCCCACGCGUUGCUAUGAACACUGUACUGAGAACCUCUGAGCAAUCCAGUGCUCAGGUGUGGUGCUGCAGGGGCGGCCAUCUACAGGGCCUGUGUGGAGGAUGGGCAUGAUUUGGGGGCCUAGAUGAUUCACUCAAUUAAAUAGCAAGACCCCAGCUCCUGACUGGGGGCCCAGUUAGCUUCAUUCCCUCAGGGGCAUAAUGGGGAAACCUGGCAGGGGUUGACAGGUCGUGACCCAGUGGGGCCUGGGGAUAGCCAGGCUUCACUGUGGCUCAGAGUGUCAGUGGUAGCAACUGACACUCUGAGGCUCUGACUCUGUUCUACCUUGUCCGGUGCUUGGCUCUUGGACUGGCUGAAACCAAGUCCAAACCCUAGAGGGGGUGCCAGUGGGAAGAACUGAUGGGGGUGCUGGGGAGCCAGAAUUCAUCAGGACAGAGGGGAUCCUUGGAUGGAAGAUAGUAGAGACUUAAUGGAACUGCUUUCUGGAGGAGCACUUUCCAAGCUCCUGAAAGAACACACAGGAAAAGCAAGAAGACUCAAACAUGUUACUGAAAGAAAGCUUUUUUCCUGAUCCUGGAGGAGGGGAACAUUCUCAGCCCCUUACUCCAAUCUUAAUUUGAAAUCAGGCCUGGCUUUAAGAGGCUCCAUUUCAGAGCAGUUCAUCUGGACCUCAGCUGUACAUCAAAAACAAAGACUUAAUCAAAC